Molecule: long non-coding RNA, 1511 nt
Filed under: Vigna radiata
Lineage: Eukaryota; Viridiplantae; Streptophyta; Magnoliopsida; Fabales; Fabaceae
Description: long non-coding RNA (VRAD_LNC017130)
Source: RNAcentral
GAUAUUAUGCUUGUUUUGCAUUGUUUUGUAGCGAUUUUGAUGAAAGUGAAGAUUGGGAUUGAAGAUGAAGGUCAUAGACUCAAGACAGAGGAAGAAAACUGAAGAAAAGAAGAGUCUAGGAACCGCCCAGCGGAAAAAUUCACCGUUGGGUGGUCCAAUGCGAGGAGGAGGCACCUGGCGUGGACUCUGGGUGGAUUUGCGAUUAGAGGCAAACCGCCGAGCGUUAGACCCUUGGCGCCGAGCGAUGGCGCGAUUAUGGGCAAACCGCCGGGCGGCAUAAGUGUGACGUCGGGCGGUUGUCUGCUGGGCUUGGGCCUGUUUUCUAUGACGCUCCUCAGCUAUAAAUAGCCCUGUUACAAUUUCAUUCUCAUUCUUUUGACAGAAGAGGGCGGCUAGACCUAAUUUUCACUCUCUGGAGAGGAUCUCUCGGAUGCUUAGGCUCCUUUUCAUCUUAUCUAGGGUUUGCUCUUCCAUUCUUCCAUUAUUUUCAUCUAAGUUCACCAUGACAAUGGUGAACUAAACCCUUUUGUUGUUGGGGGAAACAAUGUAAUCUUUUGAAACUCUCUUUUAUUGAAACUCUUGUUUAUUUAUAUGAUUUGUCAUAUGCUUUGAUUAUCAAUUGUUGGGUUCUCAUCUGCUCUUAAAGCUUUUAUCGUUUAACUCAUUCGAUAACUGUUGUUUGUCUCUAUUGAUACAGGAAUGUACAGUACUAUCAUGAACUGGUGAGAAAUUCCUUGAUUAAUGAAAUACCACCUAGGGAUAGGGAGGUAGGACGAUCAAUUGUUUUUGCUUCUGUUCGGUAAUGCGUUGCUAAUUGCUAGGGGAGGCUAGGGAUAGCAAGUCGGUAAUUAGUAAUAGGCUCUUUUCGCCGAGGGAUCGGGUUAAGGGUAGGCCAAGAAAGUUUGCAUAACAAUUAGAUAAUCAAGCACAUUAAACAAGAGGAGUAGAUAAAAGGGAGCGAAUAAGAUGAAAUUGUCAACCCCAACAACUCAAUUCAUCCAUAGUCUUUUUCGUCAAUUGAAUCAAACACAUUGCAUGUUUAUUUUCUGUCUUUGCAUUCCAAACAAUUAAUUUUUCUUUACAAGUCUUACAAUCUCGAUUCACACGAACGAUAAGGCCUUUCGAGUCUCUUGGGAAGAACGAUAUCGGGAUUUACCGAUUAUAUCACUUGAACGAUCUGGUACGCUUGUCAGUGAGUCAACAAUCAUCAAUUACAUUUCCAUAACAACACAGUCUAGUACUGAAGGAAAAACAAGGCCCCUCAACGUCCAAGCAUCAACAAAAUCAAAAACCCCAAAUCUGAUGAAUUCCGCUCAGCGGUUCAAGCAGACCGCUCAACGGUUUUCGACUAGGUGUUUCAAAAACUCGCUUUCAACAGUCCUAAUCUCCACUCUAACACCAAAUCCAUAAUUCUAUACCAAAUUCAUGCAAUUCAAUCGAUUCAAACAGUUUCUAUUUCAUCAAAUCAUGCAUAAAAAUUGAAAGCCCUAAUUUAUCAUGUUCCUAAGCAU